GGUCGCAAAGAGUCGGACACGACUGAGCGACUGAACUGAACUGAAUAACAAAGAUAAUCAUAAAACAGUAAAGAGAAAUGUUUCUAAACUCACUGUACUAGACAUUUACAUAUAUAAUAAAACCAUAGUAAAAGGGCACAGAGUGGUAUUGGUGCAAAAAGACAAAUCCGAACGGAACAGACUAGAGAGAUGAGGAAAGUAAGCGCAGUAUUUGGCGUGAGUGGUGUGUGCAGGCCUUUCUCCAUUUGUCCCCUCAGAUCCAUUCUCUUCUUCUCUCCUGUAUUCUCUGGCUUGCAGAGCUGCUCUCUACCAAGCCAGUCACCUGGGGGCCCUUCCCUCCUGGCCUAUGAGAGUCAUGGGAGACUGAAGGAUGAGAAGAGAAAGAGGCCAAAGCGCCUCUUUCCUUGCUGCCUUCCUGUUUUGUUACCACACAUCAGGGGGCUCAUCCCCUACCACUACAGCUCCUGCCCGUAGCCCAGACCACACAGGCUCUGACAGCACUCUUUCAUCACUUGUCGUUAGUGUAUGAGGAGUGACAAGUUCCAACGGUAGCCAGCUCUUGAGGCUCUUGUUGACUCACUUAAUUCCGAUCACUCUUAAAUAAACAUGUUCUUCAUUUGAUGAUAUUCAGAAUGUCGUUUGAAUCUGCCUUGUUGUUCUGACUAAAAACAGGUGGAAUCACAUAUCAGUUGAAAAAAGAGGGGUUCCAGAGGAAAAUUUGUUCCCUCUAUGGGAAAAAAAAAGCAUGCAAGUAAAAACUCAGGAUAAUGUCUUUGAGAUAUUGGGGUGCAAAGUAUUUCUUAAUAGAACCCUAAAGUACAAACUGUAUGGGAAAAAUUAAUUUGACAACCUUAAAUAUCUAUGCUAAAUUAAGGACAGUAUAGACGAAGUUAGCAGAUGUCUGACAUGACAGUAUGAUAUUUUCAAAGCCUAAUGAUAUCAAGGGAUCAAUACCUAGAUAGGAAUGCCUGCAAAUCACAGGGGAACAAGACAAAAUCUGAGAAAUAAUUUGUUACACUGUGUAAAUAAGAAAUCCACAAAGGGUAGAACUGACUAUCUAAACUUGUAUCAAGAAAUUAAAAUCUUGCUAGUAAUCAGAUAAAGGCAUAAAAAUGCAAAAGGAGAUACAAUUUGUUACCCAUUAGAUAAGCAAAAUUAAAAAGUUGGAUAACACUGAGUACUGAUAAGGAUUAGGACACUGGGCAUGUGGGAGUGAAAAUAAGCCCAUCUAUUCUGGAAUCUCUUUAAGUGUUAGUUGCUUAGUCAUGUCCAGCUUUUUGAGACCCCAUGGAUUGUAGCCUUCCCAGCUCCUCUGCCCAUGGAAUUCUCCAGGCAAGAAUACUGGAGUGGGUAGCC
This 1356-nucleotide long non-coding RNA is filed under the name Capra hircus (goat). RNAcentral describes it as "lncRNA (ENSCHIG00010004731.1)". Lineage: Eukaryota; Metazoa; Chordata; Mammalia; Artiodactyla; Bovidae. The record is from RNAcentral.